This 2073-nucleotide unclassified non-coding RNA is filed under the name Fusarium curvatum. RNAcentral's name for it is "partial 28S-18S ribosomal RNA intergenic spacer". The record is from RNAcentral. Lineage: Eukaryota; Fungi; Ascomycota; Sordariomycetes; Hypocreales; Nectriaceae.
CCCCAAUGGGUUCUCCGGAUUUCUGGAGACUUGUAGGGGUUGUGGGAUUUUUGAUGUGUCGUCUCCGGACGGGCGGUGCAGGGUAGUCGAGUUAGACUUGGUGGAAUUCCGUCGAUAGGAGUUCCGUCGAGUCUGGUCGGCUGUGUGUUGGACGGUGCAGGGUAGGCUGCUUGAACAUGGUCGGUUCGAGGAUCGAUUCGAGGGCCGGCCCGUCGAUGAUAUGUGAUGUAUGCGGUCUAGGGUAGGCUGGUUUGUCUUGGUCCAAUUUGAUGUCGGCUCCCGUGCAGGCCAGAGUGAAGGGGGUCCAGGGUAGGUCCAGGGUAGGCAGCUUAGAUUUGGUCGAUCUGGAGGUCGAUUCUCCGGCUGGCGGAUCUGACACUGUUGAAACGAGAUGCGAGCGGUGUAGGGUAGGCUAGUUUCGUCCUCGCCAGGUUGCGAUUUGGACGAGAUAUGUGGUUUAGGGUAGGCUCUAGGGUAAGUAGAAUUCGAGUUUCGUCGCCGACAGUUUUCUGUGGGUGUAUGGUAGGUACAGGGUAGGCAAAUCUCUCUCCGGCCAGUACUUGUCUGGUGGUCGUGAGUCGAUUUUUUUGUUUUGCCAUACUAUUGAAUUUUGCGGAAAUUCAAAAGUGGCUCGGGAGUCCCGCCUGGCGUGCGUCCGACUCGAACAUCGUCGGUGUACAUAUGAGAGGGAGUAAUCCGGCCCGGCCGGGGCCCAUCGCGAGCUGCCGGGUAGGUAAAAGUAAAAAAGUUGUUAAGAGGCGCGGUGUCGGCGUGCUUGUAUCUGCGGGAGAGAAUUAUCUAGGGGUGCUGGGUAGCCGGGAAGACUUGGACGGAUCUGGCCCGGGAAUGGGUCUGGGCCUGGAUCCUGGUGUGGUGUAGGGUAGGCGUAGAUAGAUGAGUGGUCUAGGGUAGAUACAGGGUAGCCAGAAGUCUGGUAUAUAGUAUGGGGGUAUAGGGUAGGUCUGGACACCGUUUUCCACUUCGCCCUAACCUUUAGUCGAGGGAGGACGAUCUUGGCUGGGACGGAGGUGUAGGGUAGGCUUAAUUUACGAUUACAUGAUCUGUGUCACUCUAGGGUAGGUGAAAAUCUCAUAUAUCUGAUCACAUUUGGUGAAGAGGUGGUUUGGCUGGCGAGAUGGACAAAAGUGCAAUGUAGGAUUAUAUGUGAUUUUGCAAAAGUGGGUGUGAAAUUGGAAAGUCGGUUUUCCCGCACAGAUGAGAGCACGUUUGAGGUGCCAUGAGAUGCACCUCUCCGAGACGACCUCAACGGUACCACCCAUGUGUUGGUCGGGCUCCUGUGCGGCCGUCCAGGGCGGGAUAAGUAGAGAAUGUGGUGGUGUAGGGUAGGUGACCAGGUCCAGGGUAGGUUCGCCAAAUCCGUCAAUCCGGCUUGAAUCGAAGGACAGGUCUAGGGUAGGCAACCCUCACCCUCGAAGUGGUCUACCCGGUAGCCAACUUCAAUCGCCUCUCACGGCCGCCACGGACCUCGCAUGACGACGGGACUACCACCAUCGGAUUCGCCUUGGUCGAAAUAGCUGGUAUAUGCACUUUUGAAAAAAUGCGUGCAAAAUGGUUUUGUGGUUUGGUGGCCGUGAGUCGAUUUUUUUGUUUUGCCAUACAAAUGAAUUUUGCGGAAAAUAAAAAGUGGCCCACGAGGCAGUCCUGGCGUGCGGCCCACUAGAACGGUCUCGGAGGGUAUAUGAGAAGGGAGCAAAUCCGGCCGAGCCUGAAAGGGUGAGGACAAACCGGGCGAGCAACCUCUCAGUAUCAGAUCUUGCAGACUUCCACUGCGUGUCCCUCUGUACAGCUUUGCAGGCUCCGGCCUCGGCAGCGGGGGGUUCAUAGUGGUCGUCGACCUCCACGAAACUGCACGCUCCGGCGUGACAGCGUACUGGGGAUGCCUGUGUAGAUGCAGUCCGGGCUUGCCUGGACCGCUAGCAGAUGGGCUCUGUGGAUGACUGGCCGCUGGCUAGACCUGAAACCUGAGCAACGGGAGGUAACCUCUCGCCGCGGACACCGGAAUGGUAGAAGCGGCGUGCUGCGUCCUCCUCUUGGGGCCCCUAAGCCACACCU